Long non-coding RNA from Agelaius phoeniceus (red-winged blackbird), 3237 nucleotides. RefSeq lists it as uncharacterized. The record is from RefSeq and is a predicted model, not a curated record. Lineage: Eukaryota; Metazoa; Chordata; Aves; Passeriformes; Icteridae.
UGGAAAGAAAGUGACUAUAAUUAUACAGUCAGUUUAAAGAAGCUUUUCUUGGCAACAGAAGAUAAAAUCAAGCACUGUAUCAAGUUAAAUGCAAAGCAUGCUACAAAGCUUAUCUCUUUGCUCUUGAAGAAAGCUUUGUGAGAGUAACCAUGAGCCUGGAGCUGAAACACCCAAUGCUGUGGAAGUUGUACCCGUCAGCACCUGCUGAGGGCUUCGUUGAUCAAAAAAAUCAGGUAGACCUGUGAUGAGAAAGGGAUAUAUUCUGUGAUUUGUCUUGAACAAAAGAGCAUGCAGAUAUGAAACAGAAUUCAAACACCUCCUGAAGAGCAGACAGAGCUAUUAGUGUGCUAGUGGUGUUCUUCAUGAAGCACAAAAGGGCAUCAGUGAAGCUUUUGUUAAAGAACCAAGAAUUUGAGGAACAAUGGACCCAUUGAAUGGAAAAAGACUUCUGGUGGUCCUUGCCCGGCUUCUGCAGAGAACUGAAACCACUGGGUAUAGUUUCUGUCUUCAGAGACAAAUGAACAAAUCAUCUGAAGUAGCAGCAAAUACUCACAUCACUAGGGCUGUCUACAGACCCAAGUCUAGGUGAAGAAUGAAUCCUUGUACAGAUCAUGAGAAGAAGGGGAGGUCUUGGUUCCUUGGUUCUUGGGUGUAGAUACCUGCUACGAGCAUGACCAUAGAGAAUUUCUUCCUUGUUGUCGGUUCACUAUUUGUUCAGGCUGUAUAUGCAAGUGUAAAACAAGGAUUUAAUUUAUUUGAUCAAACAAUUUUUUUUUACCUUAUGAGAUCUCCUUAAGAUUGACUUUAUCCUGCAGUAGUGUCACAGUUGGCCAUCAUUUAAUGCCUCAUCUUGUGAGGUCAGAAUUCCACGCCCAACUGCAUUUAGCAGGGUAUUUUAUGGGUCACUAGGAAGAAUGAAUGAUUGAAACUUCUGUAAGCCAAACUAGAGGAAUUAGCACUUUGGGUAAUCAGAAAGAUCACUUGGGAUGAAAUUUGGCUGGAAAUAACUUCAUGUGCUUCCAUCUGCAGUCAUUACCAGACUGACUCCACUUUGAAAAGCUAAAGCCACAUUCUUCAGAACAGUUGCUUGGUGUUGGUCAAAUUUCUCUGCAGACUUUUUUUUCCAUUGGAGACAUGGAGGCUCAUGCAUAGUUUCCAAGGACUAACGACUUUGCGUGUCUUCUGUCUCCAAAAUCAUCUCUUGAAUUCCAAAUAUUUCUCAAGUGACUAGCAAAAGAAUAUCCAGGUAAUUUUUGGCCUGGUGGGACAAAUUUGAGUAGAAAGCCAGAUGGCUGUAAAAAUGGAUUGUAAAACAAAGAAGAAAAAAAAUCAGCCUCAAGGGACAGGACAUGAACCCACCAGAGAUCACUGUUCCCUUUCCAGCAAAAGGAAUAAGUUUGGCUCACAACUUGCUUUGUUCUCUCUCAAAAAACUGUGCCUAUAUACCACUGGGAAGAUGAGGGCUGAAGACUGACACACAACAACUGUAAAUACAAACAUACAAGUUGAUAAAUAAGGCCCUGAUUCUGUAAGUAGGCCUGCCCAGACAUAGCUCCCCUCCAGACCUCUGCUCAACCACAGUCAGUCUGCAUUUUUAUUUUUCUCUUCAUUUUCAGUAUUAUCAUGGACUCUAAUUUUCUGAAUACUCAAGGCUGACUGGUUAGAAGACAUAAAAUGGAUAACACUUGAUAAUGAAGAAACCGCGUGCCAAGAAGAAAAACAAAUAUUUAUUUUCUGACCAUACCUGAAGUGAAAGGCAAAACAUUCAAGAAUUUCUUACCACAACUGAUAAGGGAAUUAUCAAAUCCCUUUGAUUUUCUGCUUUCUGUGUAUUGGCUAAACCUUGUUUCCCAAACUUUGGGACAAAUUUUUUUAACAUAUGUUAUAUGAGCCCUGUAUUACAGACCAAGUCAGGGAAGUCACUAGAUAUCCUUCACAAGGCUUGCUUAGAUGUUCCACCUCUACAGUUUAUUUUCUUUGGCUGAAACUGUAGGAGCAGUGGAAAAGGAACUAAACCACUACUGGCAUUUUUGAGCCUAGUUAAUGGGAUUCUUCUCACCAGGAAAGUUUGGAAUCUAAUCUCGUCAUUCAAGUUCCUUUUUCAUCAGUGUUGCUCAUACUUCAAUGCUUAAUCAUAAAUAUUAAAAAUGUAUCACAUAUUUUGAGCUACAUUUUAGAGUUUUCUUCACACUAAAUAAUUGUAAAUAGUUUCUUCACAGUAAAUAAUUGAACUUAGUCAGCUGUGUGCCCCUUUUUCCAACUCUGCACAGGCACAACUAAUGCAGGGUUGAACACAACCUUAAUUUCUGCAGCGUGAGCAUCUUAACAAAAAUACAUAUAGAAGAGCCAGAACAACCAACUCCUGAACUUUUAUCAGAUGAUGAUUUAUUGAAUAUAAAUUUCUAAACCUAUUCCCAUAAAAUAUUUUUUUCUGUUGAGUGGUAUUUGCCCAAGAAAAACAAGGCCAGAAUAUGCACCUUCUGUGGGCCAGGAGAAAAUAUGUCUCUGAAUAGUAUAGACCUAAUAAUGAUUUAUUAAAAAAUUGUUGGGAAAGAUGGAGCUUUUCAGACUUAACAGAUUUUUUACUGGGUUUGCCAGUGUGGAAUAAAGGAGAAUCUGAAGAUUUAUUUACACAAUGGAAAAAAGUUUUGCACAUAUUCAGGGAAGAUUUAAGACACUGACAAAACAGAUUCAGAUAAAGUGUGAAAAAAUAAAUUAAUUAUGUGACCACUAAAUCAAGGCCUUACAGACAUGUCAGAUGCUAGUUUACUCUUGUAUGGACUUUGAGAUCCUUGGACUCCUCAUCUUUCCCAAUGUGGUCAAGAAAAUGCAGUAAGUUUUCAGUCUUAAGUGUAGAUUCUUUGGUAGCCUAUAAGAAAAUGCUCUUUCUGGAACACCUGGAAUUUGUGGUUAUGUGCUGGUAGUAAAAACAGCAAAGCAACUGCUAAAAGAAAUUCAUUUGUGUCUUUAAGAGGAAGUUAUAUGUACAUAAGUUUCAUUUUCAGAAAUUCUUUAGAAGCUUGGAAGUAUCUGGUUUUAUGCAAAGUUUCAAUAUUUUCUUUGGCUUUCUUGUUUAAUUUAAAUCUUGAAAUAACACAGUUGUAAUGCAUGGCUGAAAAAUCAUGUACUUUGGAAAACAGUGUCUCAGUCCAUGUGGAAUAAAUCUGCCCUCCACCUCAAGACCUGUGGUGUGACUAAGUGAAAAUAUAAAAUAAAAGUUCUGCAGAGAAAACAUGA